Helianthus annuus (common sunflower) is the source of this 1164-nucleotide long non-coding RNA. RefSeq lists it as uncharacterized. The record is from RefSeq and is a predicted model, not a curated record. NCBI's taxonomy places the organism in Eukaryota, Viridiplantae, Streptophyta, Magnoliopsida, Asterales, Asteraceae. The transcript has 3 exons.
UUUCCAUCACACACUCAUUCUCGUUUCCCCCUCAUGGAAGGCUUUUAAAUGUGGAAGCGUCGGCAAGAUCGAGAUGGAGGUUAACUAUCCACUGCGAUCUCUGUUUGUUGUGUUGGUCAGUGCUGAUAGUCGCUGAUGUUUUUGUAACCGAACAACGAGUGAACGGUGGUUAGGGUUGAACAUUCGGACGAAAUAAAGGGUGUCUUGUGUGCAAGAAGAAGAUGGCAACUCCUCUCUCAAAACACUUUCUGGAUCUUGUCCUGCCCCAUUUAGAAAUCUUUUGGAAUAUGUUGUUAAUUUGAAGUUUGAUAAAGAGCCUUCUUAUGCAAAACUUUCGUUUGAUCAUCUGAAAGUAGUUAUUUUUCCUAAUUACAUGUCAAAUUGUGUGUUAAUUUGUUGGCCUGUUAUAUGGUAUUUGUAGGUUUAUGAAAAGAGCUCACAUCAUAGUACUUUGGUUGUUUGUUUGAAGUUGUGAAAAUGAAGCUCUCUAACGAAGGUUGAUGGAUAAGCCAAAUAGUACAGAAUAGAAGUCUUCCUCCAUGGAAAUGCAGUAUAUAUAUAUUAUAAACUUGGAGGAUGAUGGUGGGGACAUGGUGCUACUCCUACACUAACUAUUUUUUUUCUCAUAGUGUUAUGGUGAGUUAUGAAAAAAUAGAACACUCAAUUCCAUUGUUCUCAAUAGGGUGUGAAUAUGUGAUAACGUAUUCAAUUGUAAAAAUUAAGAAAGUUGGCCACUUCAACGGAGUAAAAAAUGAUAUGCUUUGAUUUCGUGUUGGUUUUUGAUAGUUUGUCUAUGAAUAUGGCUGAUAGGUUAGAGACGGCGGCUUCCGGUAUGGCAUGGCCCGGUUCUGUGUUGCUAUACAACUGGAAUUUGAUUUUCAUAGGGCCAUCUACAACCUCAACACAUUUUUGGUUAGUUGAAUGAACUUUUUCUCUUCUACGAUUCCGGUUGCAAGUAUGGAUUAAAGACAUUGGUUUGGGUUGAAAGUAUGAAGACGUCUGUCGGUUCGGUUCAGGAAGUUAUUGUAUAUCACUUUCAUCUUUAGAGUUAUAUGUAUUAUUGUGUUAUUGGAAAACUUUUGUAAUAUUGUGUUACUUUGAAACCUUUGUAUUUUGUAAUCUUGGGUCAUAUUAUAUUGGUUCUAAUUUAAUUUUGUUCUUUUU